RNAcentral lists this non-coding RNA (28 nucleotides) under Homo sapiens (human). Lineage: Eukaryota; Metazoa; Chordata; Mammalia; Primates; Hominidae. The record is from RNAcentral.
UCCCAGGUGGCAAGGGAGCUUCCCAGGG